Molecule: long non-coding RNA, 1065 nt
Organism: Lycium ferocissimum
Lineage: Eukaryota; Viridiplantae; Streptophyta; Magnoliopsida; Solanales; Solanaceae
Exons: 3
Source: RefSeq, a predicted model, not a curated record
UAUGCUUUUUAUUAUUACUCCCUCCAUAUCAAUAUUUAAGUGUCUUAGUUUGAUUAGGCAAGUAGUUUAAAAAAUAAACACACUUUUGAAUCUCGUGAUCCUAAUUUAAAGAUGUGUAUAAUGUACUAAAAUAUUUUUUGGAUCUUGUGGUUAUAAACUUGUAAUGUAGGAUAUUUGACUUGUCAACUUACUAAAUAUAGAAAGGGGUAUUUUUUGGGGACGGACCGAAGACACUUGAAUAAGUACGGAGGGAAUAUUAUUUUUCAUUAAUGUCCAGUAUCUAUUCAGUUUUCGAACUCGAGCUAAUUAAGGACAGACAAAAUUGUACUUAUCCACGACAAUCUUCGGUGGCGAUGGUUUUGUAUGCUUAUAUUAUGCUUCUGCCGCGUAUAAUAGCUGUUUUUGUUGGCAUGGAUAACUGACCCAGGUGUCACUUGGACAGAACUUUAAACAUAAUAAUGCAGAGACUUUAAAUUCUGAUGUUCCUUCUUUGUUCAGAGUUCAACUGACAUAUUGUCCCCAAAUUAAAAACUGAGAUUUAACACAAAGACAAUAUGAGUGAAGUACCAAAGCAAGUAGCUUAUCCCUACCCCGCUCCAGGUUAUUACGAGGGACCUCCAGUGAUGGCACCCCCUAUGUAUAUGUAUACUGCUGCUCCUCCUAGGAGCCAACCAGGUUUUCUCGAGGCUUGCCUGGCAACGUUAUGUUGUUGUUGCCUCCUAGACUGUUGUUGCUGGGAUCCUUUCCUCUGCAUCUAGUUCUUCUUUGUACAACUACUUAAAAUGUCAGUAGUAUUCUAUAAGCCGUUUUCUUUUUUGGGUCUGGAAGAAAACAGUGUAUUAUACUUGAAACAAAACAUUAGUACAGGGAGUUGUAAAUGGUGUAGAACUCGCAUUACAAAGGGGGAUUUCAGGGAGUUGUAAGUUGUGACUAUGUACCUAUAAGUGAAUAGAAGAGUUGGAGUACUACUUUUGAUCUCUUUUUUUGUUUUGUUUUGUUUUUGUCUUAAUCAUUCACAAGUUACCAGCCAAAAGAAGAAUAAAAAUAAUGUGCAUUGUGCCCAUG